CAGGGAUUGCCUCAGUAACGGCGAGUGAAGCGGCAACAGCUCAAAUUUGAAAUCUGACCCCCUGCGGGGCCCGAGUUGUAAUUUGCAGAGGGUGCUUCGGGCGCGGCGCCGGUCUAAGUGCCUUGGAACAGGACGUCAUAGAGGGUGAGAAUCCCGUCUGUGACCGGCGGCCAAGCCCAUGUGAAGCCCUUUCGACGAGUCGAGUUGUUUGGGAAUGCAGCUCAAAACGGGUGGUAAAUUUCAUCUAAAGCUAAAUACCGGCCAGAGACCGAUAGCGGACAAGUAGAGUGAUCGAAAGAUGAAAAGCACUUUGGAAAGAGAGUCAAACAGUACGUGAAAUUGUUGAAAGGGAAGCGCUUGCGAUCAGACCGGUCCGGGGGCGAUCAGCCGCUGCUCGUCAGCGGUGCACUCGCCCUCGAUCCGGCCAGCAUCGGUUUGGGCGGCGGGAGAAAAGUCCCGGGAACGUAGCUUCCCUCGGGGAGUCUUAUAGCCCGGGUCGUCAUGCCGCCCGCCCGGACCGAGGACCGCGCUUCGGCUAGGAUGCUGGCGUAAUGGUCGCAAGCGACCCGUCUUGAAACACGGACCAAGGAGUCUAACAUCUAUGCGAGUGUUUGGGUGUCAAACCCGGGCGCGGAAUGAAAGUGAACGGAGGUGGGAACCCGUCGCACGGCGCACCAUCGACCGAUCCAGAUGUCUUCGGAUGGAUUUGAGUACGAGCAUAGCUGUUGGGACCCGAAAGAUGGUGAACUAUGCCCGGAUAGGGUGAAGCCAGAGGAAACUCUGGUGGAGGCUCGCAGCGGUUCUGACGUGCAAAUCGAUCGUCAAAUCUAGGCAUAGGGGCGAAAGACCAAUCGAACCAUCUAG
Molecule: ribosomal RNA, 864 nt
Filed under: Pseudocyphellaria aurata
Lineage: Eukaryota; Fungi; Ascomycota; Lecanoromycetes; Peltigerales; Lobariaceae
Description: LSU rRNA
Rfam family: Eukaryotic large subunit ribosomal RNA
Source: RNAcentral